RNAcentral lists this unclassified non-coding RNA (549 nucleotides) under Hevea brasiliensis (rubber tree). Lineage: Eukaryota; Viridiplantae; Streptophyta; Magnoliopsida; Malpighiales; Euphorbiaceae. The record is from RNAcentral.
CAAUACAUUUCACCCAAUUGAUUAAGCUAAUGUACAAUGCAAUAUGGUACUAUACCACCAAGAUAAAAGAUAUAAUUUAAACAAUCAAACUUCAACAUGUUCCCCAAAGUACUUGUGUAAAUUUUGAAAGAUGGCCAUACACACUGAGGAAUUCGACUUACGGACCUCUUCCUUUCAUGCUGUUUACACUUAUCGUCAUCAUCUUAUAACUCACUGGGGCUAAACUUGAUAGACGAACCGCGGCGUUGGCCACCUACGAUCACAUCUUUAAGCCGAGUUAUUGGUCCCAGCACUCGGUUUGUCUUCUGAUCAUUCACACUAAUAUGCCAUUUCAGUUGUAGAGUCUGCCAACUUUCCUGCUGCCAGCGUUGCCCAAGUAUUACAAGGCCCAUAACAGCUGCUGCAAUGAAAAUUGACCAAAAUGCUUUUGCUUCUUUUGCAUGAGAGUAUAAAUUAGCAGCUCUUCUCUUCCACCAAGCACCGCAAGGAAGACUGGAUUUAUUGCUUUUGCUAUCAACCUUGGGAGUUUGUAAGCUUUCUGGAUUUGAG